RNAcentral lists this ribosomal RNA (1110 nucleotides) under Triticum aestivum (bread wheat). RNAcentral describes it as "partial small subunit ribosomal RNA". Lineage: Eukaryota; Viridiplantae; Streptophyta; Magnoliopsida; Poales; Poaceae. The record is from RNAcentral.
AUGAAUUUGAUUGCUUCCAUUACCGAAGAGAACAAAGGAAGAAAAAGGAAAAGGAUCAUCUUGACAGCGAUGUAUGUUGAGUCAGUUUGUCUUGGCCUAGCUUAUCUUAGUACGCAAAGAGCACCGAAGAGUUUGCGAUGCUUUAGUGACGAAGAGCUUCGAUAUGUUCAUAGGAAGUACUUGCUGAAAGAAAUGUACAAUGGGUCAGAAGUAACUUGCUAUGAUGAGUUGCGGUUAACCAAAAGGAAUUUUCAUGAUCUUUGCACGAUGUUGCGUAUGAAGUGUGGUCUGAAAGAUAGCGUAUAUGUCACUGUAGAAGAAAAGGUUGCUAUGUUCUUGUUGGUGGUUGGACAUGGUAUUAAAAUGAGAGUGUUGCGUGGCACUUACAAACGUUCUUUAGAGACUAUCAGUAGGCACUUCUCGAAUGUGUUGACAGCCAUUCUUUCCCUAACCGGGGAGUUUAUCAAGCUUCCCGAUCCUUCUAUUGAACCUCCGGAUGAUUACAAAUGGAAGUGGUUUGGAAAUGCCUUGGGAGCACUAGAUGGGUGUCAUGUUGAUGUUUCUGUCGUUGCGGCUGACGAAGGGAGGUAUAGGAACAGAAAGCAAGAUAUCACCACUAACAUGCUAGGUGUUGUUGACUGGAACAUGAAAUUUCUUUAUGUUCUACCUGGCUGGGAGGGAUCUGCAUCUGACUCCAGAGUGUUGCGUGAUGCAAUGAGAACUGAUCGUCAAGAUGCAUUUGUUAUACCUCAUGGUAUGAUUGUUUCUCUUGGCAUUUUGUUUCUUUUUGUGUUAAUGUUAGCUAAAUCUAAUUGCUGCACCAUAGGAAAAUACUACUUAGUGGAUGCUGGCUACACCAAUGGACCUGGCUUUCUGGCUCCAUUCAGAUCGACUAGGUACCACUUGAAAGAGUGGGUCUCAAGUCAACAACAACCCCAAACUGACAAAGAGUUGUAUAACUUGCGCCAUUCUCGGGCUAGAAAUGUUGUGGAGAGAACUUUUGGCCUAUGGAAGAAAAAAUGGGCCAUUCUACGAAUUCAAUCUUUCUUUGACAUAAAGGACCAGGUAACAAGUGUCCAUAUGGUGUUGAAUAACAUAUGGACUGUAUGA